This 81-nucleotide transfer RNA is filed under the name Tinca tinca (tench). RNAcentral's name for it is "tRNA-Leu". It matches the Rfam family "tRNA". Rfam says of the family: Transfer RNA (tRNA) molecules are approximately 80 nucleotides in length. The record is from RNAcentral. Lineage: Eukaryota; Metazoa; Chordata; Actinopteri; Cypriniformes; Tincidae.
UUCCUUACGCUUCUGAAGGAUAACAGUUCAUCCAUUGGUCUUAGGAACCAAAAACUCUUGGUGCAAAUCCAAGUGGAAGCU